RNAcentral lists this ribosomal RNA (429 nucleotides) under Bacteroidota bacterium. Its description in RNAcentral is "Bacteroidetes bacterium partial 16S ribosomal RNA". It matches the Rfam family "Bacterial small subunit ribosomal RNA", at positions 355 to 776 of the family's 1533-position model. Lineage: Bacteria; Pseudomonadati; Bacteroidota. The record is from RNAcentral.
UAGGGAAUCUUCCGCAAUGGACGCAAGUCUGACGGAGCAACGCCGCGUGAGUGAAGAAGGAUUUCGGUUCGUAAAACUCUGUUGUUAGAGAAGAACAGCGCAUAGAGUAACUGUUAUGCGUGUGACGGUAUCUAACCAGAAAGCCACGGCUAACUACGUGCCAGCAGCCGCGGUAAUACGUAGGUGGCAAGCGUUGUCCGGAUUUAUUGGGCGUAAAGCGAGCGCAGGCGGUCAAUUAAGUCUGAUGUGAAAGCCCCCGGCUCAACCGGGGAGGGUCAUUGGAAACUGGUUGACUUGAGUGCAGAAGAGGGGAGUGGAAUUCCAUGUGUAGCGGUGAAAUGCGGAGAUAUAUGGAAGAACACCAGUGGCGAAGGCGACUCUCUGGUCUGUAUCUGACGCUGAGGCUCGAAAGCGUGGGUAGGAAACAGG